ACAGCAGUCGCCACGGUAAUACGAAGGGGGCUAGCGUUGCUCGGAAUCACUGGGAGUAAAGGGUGCGUAGGCGGGCCUUUAAGUCAGGGGUGAAAUCCUGGAGCUCAACUCCAGAACUGCCUUUGAUACUGAAGAUCUUGAGUUCGGGAGAGGUGAGUGGAACUGCGAGCGUGGAGGUGAAAUUCGUAGAUAUUCGCAAGAACACCAGUGGCGAAGGCGGCUCACUGGCCCGAUACUGACGCUGAGGCACGAAAGCGUGGGGAGCAAACAGGAUUAGAUACCCCCGUAGUCCCUGUCUCUUAUAC
This 305-nucleotide ribosomal RNA is filed under the name uncultured bacterium. RNAcentral describes it as "partial 16S ribosomal RNA". It matches the Rfam family "Bacterial small subunit ribosomal RNA", at positions 505 to 807 of the family's 1533-position model. The record is from RNAcentral.